This is a long non-coding RNA of Carassius gibelio (silver crucian carp), 750 nucleotides long. RefSeq lists it as uncharacterized. NCBI's taxonomy places the organism in Eukaryota, Metazoa, Chordata, Actinopteri, Cypriniformes, Cyprinidae. The record is from RefSeq and is a predicted model, not a curated record. The transcript has 3 exons.
CAUUAUCCCCCUAACGAGCCAAGACAAUGGACGAGCCGACUUCCGGUUGCUUCGCGCCGACGCGGCCACACACAGCGGUCCUGGCACUAUUUAUCCAGGCCGCUGGGUGGCGCUCGGGUUCGGUCGAUCGAUGGUGGAGAAGCAACGCGAAAGACCGGCAACACAGACGCUGACAAACACCGAACACAGCAGGGAUUCUGAAGGGGAUGGAAAUGGAGUGGCUAUGUUUGCGUGUAUGAUGACCAGCGUGCUAAUGGCCCACAACGCCCCAGCAGGGAACGGAGGAUGAGAGUUGAAGUCUACAGCCGUUCUAUCAAUGCAGCAACUGAUGGACAAGGGGUUCACUUUGGUGAUGUUGUGAUGUUCACACCUUCUCAUUCAAAGAGUUUUCUUUAUUUUCAUGACUAUGAAAACUGUAGAGUCACACUGAAGGCAUCAAGGGCUAUUUGAGCAAGAAGGAGAGUGAUGGGGUGCUGCUCCAGAUGACCUGUCCUCCACAGUCACCGGACCUGAACCCAAUCCAGAUGGUUUAGGGGUGAGCUGGACCGCAGACAGAAGGCAAAAGGGCCAACAAGUGCUAAGCAUCUCUCGGGGAACUCCUUCAAGACUGUUGAAGACCAUUUCAGGUGACUACCUCUUGAAGCUCAUCAAGAGAAUGCCAAGAGUGUGCAAAGCAGUAAUCAAAGCUAAAGAAGAACCUACAAUAUGACAUAUUUUCAGUUGUUUCACACUUGUUUGUUAUGUAUAUAA